RNAcentral lists this ribosomal RNA (421 nucleotides) under Fusobacteriota bacterium. RNAcentral's name for it is "Fusobacteria bacterium partial 16S ribosomal RNA". It matches the Rfam family "Bacterial small subunit ribosomal RNA", at positions 355 to 776 of the family's 1533-position model. The record is from RNAcentral. Lineage: Bacteria; Fusobacteriati; Fusobacteriota.
CGGGGAAUUUUGCACAAUGGGGGGAACCUUGAUGCAGCGACGCCGCGUGAGGGAUGGAGGCCUUCUGGUUGUGAACCUCUUUCGCUCGUGUGCAAGCCGCCAUUUGGGUAGUGGUGAGUGUAGCGGGUAAAGAAGCGCCGGCUAACUACGUGCCAGCAGCCGCGGUAAUACGUAGGGCGCGAGCGUUGUCCGGAUUUAUUGGGCGUAAAGGGCUUGUAGGCGGUUUGUCGCGCCUGUCGUGUAAUCCUCUGGCUUAACUGGGGGUGUGCGGUGGGUACGGGGAGGCUUUGGUGCGGUAGGGGAGAUUGGAAUUCCUGGUGUAGCGGUGGAAGGCGCAGAUAUCAGGAGGAACACCGGUGGCGAAGGCGGGUCUCUGGGCCGUUACUGACGCUGAGGGGCGAAAGCGUGGGGAGCGAACAGG